RNAcentral lists this long non-coding RNA (458 nucleotides) under Calidris pugnax (ruff). RNAcentral describes it as "lncRNA (ENSCPUG00000012315.1)". The record is from RNAcentral. Lineage: Eukaryota; Metazoa; Chordata; Aves; Charadriiformes; Scolopacidae.
GUGGCUCUAGAGGUUUAUUUUAAGGGAAAUAUGAGAUUUAUAGUUCUAAAGGUACAGCCUUUAGCAUUUAAACUUUUUUUUCAGUUCUGUUUCUCUCCAGAUAUGUAUAUGUUCAUAGUGGUUCUCCCUGGCCCUGGAAGCGCUCCCUGGAAGUCUGAGGAAGAACAAGGAAAUCCCUACAUUUCAAUCAGUACCGAGGUGCUGUCUUUUAUUGUAUUUGCUAAGUACAAUGAAGCUGGGAGCUGAAUAGCGAUCUGCUGAAUAGUGAUGAUGAUACUAUGGAAAAAUUUAUACUUCCUGUGCUAUCCAUCUUACAGUCUGAAGGAACUGGGUCACAAAUGGUAAGUUGCUCAAGGGCACCAAAUGUCACAAGAGGAAUAGAUGGCUAAGUAUUUCCACAGACCACUGAAACUCAGCGAUUAAAUAAAUAUAAGUGGCUGCAUUCUUUAUAGAGUUGA